GAGUUUGAUCUUGGCUCAGAUUGAACGCUGGCGGCAUGCCUUACACAUGCAAGUCGAACGGCAGCAUGAUCUAGCUUGCUAGAUUGAUGGCGAGUGGCGAACGGGUGAGUAAUACAUCGGAACGUGCCCUGUAGUGGGGGAUAACUAGUCGAAAGAUUAAGCUAAUACCGCAUACGACCUGAGGGUGAAAGUGGGGGACCGCAAGGCCUCAUGCUAUAGGAGCGGCCGAUGUCUGAUUAGCUAGUUGGUGUGGUUAAAGGCCCACCAAGGCGACGAUCAGUAGCUGGUCUGAGAGGACGAUCAGCCACACUGGGACUGAGACACGGCCCAGACUCCUACGGGAGGCAGCAGUGGGGAAUUUUGGACAAUGGCGAAAGCCUGAUCCAGCAAUGCCGCGUGUGUGAAGAAGGCC
RNAcentral lists this ribosomal RNA (412 nucleotides) under uncultured microorganism. Its description in RNAcentral is "bacterial SSU rRNA". It matches the Rfam family "Bacterial small subunit ribosomal RNA", at positions 9 to 416 of the family's 1533-position model. The record is from RNAcentral.